GAUGAACGCUGGCGGCGUGCCUAAUACAUGCAAGUCGAGCGAACAGACGAGGAGCUUGCUCCUCUGACGUUAGCGGCGGACGGGUGAGUAACACGUGGAUAACCUACCUAUAAGACUGGGAUAACUUCGGGAAACCGGAGCUAAUACCGGAUAAUAUAUUGAACCGUAUGGUUCAAUAGUGAAAGACGGUUUUGCUGUCACUUAUAGAUGGAUCCGCGCCGCAUUAGCUAGUUGGUAAGGUAACGGCUUACCAAGGCAACGAUGCGUAGCCGACCUGAGAGGGUGAUCGGCCACACUGGAACUGAGACACGGUCCAGACUCCUACGGGAGGCAGCAGUAGGGAAUCUUCCGCAAUGGGCGAAAGCCUGACGGAGCAACGCCGCGUGAGUGAUGAAGGUCUUCGGAUCGUAAAACGCUGUUAUUAGGGAAAAACAAAUGUGUAAGUAACUAUGCACGUCUUGACGGUACCUAAUCAGAAAGCCACGGCUAACUACGUG
Molecule: ribosomal RNA, 497 nt
Filed under: uncultured bacterium
Lineage: Bacteria
Description: partial 16S ribosomal RNA
Rfam family: Bacterial small subunit ribosomal RNA
Source: RNAcentral